UGGGGAAUUUUCCGCAAUGGGCGAAAGCCUGACGGAGCAAUACCGCGUGAGGGAGGAAGGCUUUUGGGUUGUAAACCUCUUUUGUUAAGGAAGAAGAAGUGACGGUACUUAACGAAUCAGCAUCGGCUAACUCCGUGCCAGCAGCCGCGGUAAGACGGAGGAUGCAAGCGUUAUCCGGAAUUAUUGGGCGUAAAGCGUCCGUAGGCGGUUAUUUAAGUCUGCUGUCAAAGACCACAGCUCAACUGUGGGCGGGCGGUGGAAACUGGGUAACUAGAGUUCGGUAGGGGUAGAGGGAAUUCCCAGUGUAGCGGUGAAAUGCGUAGAUAUUGGGAAGAACACCAGUGGCGAAGGCGCUCUACUGGGCCGAGACUGACGCUGAUGGACGAAAGCUAGGGGAGCGAAAGGGAUUAGAUACCCCCGUAGUCC
RNAcentral lists this ribosomal RNA (426 nucleotides) under uncultured prokaryote. RNAcentral's name for it is "bacterial SSU rRNA". It matches the Rfam family "Bacterial small subunit ribosomal RNA", at positions 355 to 796 of the family's 1533-position model. The record is from RNAcentral.